CCCUUAGAUGUUCUGGGCUGCACGCGUGCUACAAUGGCGUUUCCAGCAAGUCUGCGAACCCGAGAGGGCCAGCGGAUCUUCGAAUUGGCGUCGUGAUCGGGACAGUCGAUUGCAAUUAUUUGACUCAAACGAGGAAUUCCUUGUAAUCGCGAUUCAUCAUAUCGCGCUGAAUACGUCCCUGCCCUUUGUACACACCGCCCGUCGCUCCUACCGAUUGAGCGAUCCGGUAAAUGUUUUGGAUUGGUGCCGGGGCGGCUAGCUGCCGGUCGCUACGAAAUUUUGUGAACCUUAUCGCUUAGAGGAAGGAGAAGUCGUAACA
RNAcentral lists this ribosomal RNA (319 nucleotides) under uncultured eukaryote. RNAcentral describes it as "partial 18S ribosomal RNA". It matches the Rfam family "Eukaryotic small subunit ribosomal RNA", at positions 1470 to 1796 of the family's 1831-position model. The record is from RNAcentral.